GACGAACCGAGCGAACGUUAUUCGGAAUCACUGGGCUUAAAGGGCGCGUAGGCGGGCGGCCAAGUCAGGGGUGAAAGCCCCCAGCUCAACUGGGGAAGUGCCUUUGAUACUGGCCAUCUCGAGGGAGGUAGGGGCGUGCGGAACUUCCGGUGGAGCGGUGAAAUGCGUAGAUAUCGGAAGGAACACCGGUGGCGAAAGCGGCGCGCUGGACCUCUUCUGACGCUGAGGCGCGAAAGCCAGGGGAGCAAACGGG
RNAcentral lists this ribosomal RNA (253 nucleotides) under uncultured bacterium. RNAcentral describes it as "partial 16S ribosomal RNA". It matches the Rfam family "Bacterial small subunit ribosomal RNA", at positions 524 to 776 of the family's 1533-position model. The record is from RNAcentral.